UCCUCUUUGGGUUUUCCUUUUUGGGCUUCCCCUUAAGGUUUUUAAAACGCAUCUGCUAGGGAGAGGUUUCCACACCCUCAUAAAGGGUGUUUCUUUCUCGUCUCAAUAUGGGAUAUGACAACAAAGAUGUUGUCCAUAGAUGAAAUUAUUUUGUGGAUUGGAAGACUGUCUACGGCUCCAUUGCGUGUGCUCAGGGUAGAAGUUUGUAUAAAUGUAUUGCCAUGCUAUUAAGUAUUUUGAUUUAAGUUCGAGUUUUUGCAUUUUAUGAUCUCGAGACUGAUGCUUCAUAAAAAUGAAUUAUAUGGUUCAUUGCUGUCUGGCUGUGUUUCUUAGUUGCCACAAAUUUUGAGAGUUUAGCCUCUUCAAAAGCUUUUCUGGUUGUUACUAACAUAUUUUGUUGCAGUUGUUAGCAUUGGUGCUGCACUCUUCCUGUUCCAGCAGCUAUCCGGGAUUAACGCCGUCGUAUAUUAUUCGACUUCGGUAUUUCGUAGUGCUGGAGUUGCUUCCGACAUUGCAGCGAGUGCUCUCGUUGCAGCAGCUAACGUCUUUGGCACGACCAUUGCAUCUUCUUUAAUGGAUCGUCAGGGACGGAAAAGUCUUCUCACAAUUAGCUUUUGUGGAAUGGCUGCAUCUAUGUUGCUGCUGUCUUUGACCUUCAGUUGGAGCGCCUUGGCACCCUAUUCUGGCACCCUNUG
Cucurbita pepo subsp. pepo (vegetable marrow) is the source of this 695-nucleotide non-coding RNA. The record is from RefSeq and is a predicted model, not a curated record. Lineage: Eukaryota; Viridiplantae; Streptophyta; Magnoliopsida; Cucurbitales; Cucurbitaceae.